Molecule: unclassified non-coding RNA, 343 nt
Filed under: Hevea brasiliensis (rubber tree)
Lineage: Eukaryota; Viridiplantae; Streptophyta; Magnoliopsida; Malpighiales; Euphorbiaceae
Source: RNAcentral
GAAUUUAGAUAGCGGCGAAGCUGAGCAUCCGGAUGCAAGUGCUAGUGAUGGCGGAGCACAGGAAAAUGGAGUUGAAUUUACUCCUGUGCCUAGCCAAAUAUCGGUACCACCUAUUGCUUCAAGCAGAGCUGGGCGAUCAAUGUCUUUCAAAUCAAGAUUAGGGCUUUUUAGUGGGAGAAGUUUUGUGGUAUGCACUUUGAGAAGGUGGUCAAGCGGUAGUAGCAGUUCUCGAAGUUAAUUAGAUUAAGGACUGAUUUGAUUGGAGAUUAAGGACUGAUAUAAGUUUCAGAGCGGAAAAAUGGGUCCUGGGUCUUGGUAUGUUUGCGUUAUUUUCCAUUGUAUC